Molecule: ribosomal RNA, 484 nt
Filed under: uncultured bacterium
Lineage: Bacteria
Description: partial 16S ribosomal RNA
Rfam family: Bacterial small subunit ribosomal RNA
Source: RNAcentral
AUUGAACGCUGGCGGCAGGCCUAACACAUGCAAGUCGAGCGGAUGAAGGGAGCUUGCUCCUGGAUUCAGCUGCGGACGGGUGAGUAAUGCCUAGGAAUCUGCCUGGUAGUGGGGGAUAACGUCCGGACACGGGCGCUAAUACCGCAUACGUCCUGAGGGAGAAAGUGGGGGAUCUUCGGACCUCACGCUAUCAGAUGAGCCUAGGUCGGAUUAGCUAGUUGGUGGGGUAAAGGCCUACCAAGGCGACGAUCCGUAACUGGUCUGAGAGGAUGAUCAGUCACACUGGAACUGAGACACGGUCCAGACUCCUACGGGAGGCAGCAGUGGGGAAUAUUGGGCAAUGGGCGAAAGCCUGAUCCAGCCGUGCCGCGUGUGUGAAGAAGGUCUUCGGAUUGUAAAGCACUUUAAGUUGGGAAGAAGGGCAGUAAGUUAAUACCUUGCUGUUUUGACGUUACCAACAGAAUAAGCACCGGCUAACUUCGUG